Molecule: long non-coding RNA, 564 nt
Organism: Eriocheir sinensis (Chinese mitten crab)
Lineage: Eukaryota; Metazoa; Arthropoda; Malacostraca; Decapoda; Varunidae
Exons: 4
Source: RefSeq, a predicted model, not a curated record
GAGGAAGACAAGAUGGCCGCCGACCUCUCCUUUCCAGGCAAACACACUAUUUUACCGUUUUCUCCACUUGUAAAGCCUGACGGAGGUGUCUGAGGCAGUAUAUCAUGUGGUAAUGGUUCUCCACGCCUUUAGAAACCCACAGUAACCGCCGGAGACCAAGAGAACACGGAGAAAACAGGGAGUGGAGAUUGUGGGCGGAUUUUUCGUGUUUAUAAGCUCAAACUCCAUCCUGGAGCUCCAGAAGAGGCCCUCUGGACUGGGGCCCAAGCAGCGGUGGACUCUCAACAACAACAACAACAACAACAACUCUGUCAAGUAACCCAAGAGAGGAGGAAGAGAAUGGACAAUUUACAACAAUAUGCACAGACAACAAGAAGAAGAAGAAGAAGAAGAGCAAGAAGAUGAGGAGGAGGAAGAGAAUGGAAGAGAAGGAGCAGCACACACUAUUGCACUGCCGACACAUCCUGAACGCCUACAACAGCACGCUUGGGGGCAGUCGACAGGUGUUCGCCGUGCCCUGCUACACUAUGCACAUUGGGAACCUCAAGCUGUGCAAGCCUAAGG